Molecule: unclassified non-coding RNA, 24 nt
Filed under: Dictyostelium discoideum
Lineage: Eukaryota; Evosea; Eumycetozoa; Dictyosteliales; Dictyosteliaceae
Source: RNAcentral
CGGCCAGUUACUAACGGGUGAGAU